RNAcentral lists this ribosomal RNA (434 nucleotides) under uncultured Escherichia sp. RNAcentral's name for it is "bacterial SSU rRNA". It matches the Rfam family "Bacterial small subunit ribosomal RNA", at positions 958 to 1392 of the family's 1533-position model. Lineage: Bacteria; Pseudomonadati; Pseudomonadota; Gammaproteobacteria; Enterobacterales; Enterobacteriaceae. The record is from RNAcentral.
AACGCGAAGAACCUUACCUGGUCUUGACAUCCACGGAAGUUUUCAGAGACGAGAAUGUGCCUUCGGGAACCGUGAGACAGGUGCUGCAUGGCUGUCGUCAGCUCGUGUUGUGAAAUGUUGGGUUAAGUCCCGCAACGAGCGCAACCCUUAUCCUUUGUUGCCAGCGGUCCGGCCGGGAACUCAAAGGAGACUGCCAGUGAUAAACUGGAGGAAGGUGGGGAUGACGUCAAGUCAUCAUGGCCCUUACGACCAGGGCUACACACGUGCUACAAUGGCGCAUACAAAGAGAAGCGACCUCGCGAGAGCAAGCGGACCUCAUAAAGUGCGUCGUAGUCCGGAUUGGAGUCUGCAACUCGACUCCAUGAAGUCGGAAUCGCUAGUAAUCGUGGAUCAGAAUGCCACGGUGAAUACGUUCCCGGGUCUUGUACACACCG